AUUGAACGCUGGCGGCAGGCCUAACACAUGCAAGUCGAACGGUAACAGGAAACAGCUUGCUGUUUCGCUGACGAGUGGCGGACGGGUGAGUAAUGUCUGGGAAACUGCCUGAUGGAGGGGGAUAACUACUGGAAACGGUAGCUAAUACCGCAUAACGUCGCAAGACCAAAGAGGGGGACCCUCGGGCCUCUUGCCAUCGGAUGUGCCCAGAUGGGAUUAGCUUGUUGGUGGGGUAACGGCUCACCAAGGCGACGAUCCCUAGCGGGUCUGAGAGGAUGACCAGCCACGCUGGAACUGAGACACGGUCCAGACUCCUACGGGAGGCAGCAGUGGGGAAUAUUGCACAAUGGGCGCAAGCCUGAUGCAGCCAUGCCGCGUGUAUGAAGAAGGCCGUCGGGUUGUAAAGUACUUUCAGCGGGGAGGAAGGGAGUAAAGUUAAUACCUUUGCUCAUUGACGUUACCCGCAGAAGAAGCACCGGCUAACUCCGUGC
Molecule: ribosomal RNA, 491 nt
Filed under: uncultured bacterium
Lineage: Bacteria
Description: partial 16S ribosomal RNA
Rfam family: Bacterial small subunit ribosomal RNA
Source: RNAcentral